This 282-nucleotide unclassified non-coding RNA is filed under the name Hevea brasiliensis (rubber tree). Lineage: Eukaryota; Viridiplantae; Streptophyta; Magnoliopsida; Malpighiales; Euphorbiaceae. The record is from RNAcentral.
GCCGAAUUUUCCCAUCUUCUAGUCCAAUCGGCAAGUUCUUGGAUUCAGAAAACGGUGUUGUGGGUGGAAGUAGGGGAGACAAAGAGUUGGGAGAAGGGAUAGCCAAGGAAGGUAAGGGAGAGUUUAAGGUAAAAGUGAGGGCCAAGGAAAGCAGAUUAGUGAAGAGAAUGGGUUUUGGGGUUGGAUUUUGUAUAUUAGAUUUCGCAAAAUUGAAGUGAUGAGGAGAAAUUUUCUGAGUUGGGUUCCUGGAAGGAAGUGAAGGAAGAACAUGACCAAUCAAAC